Molecule: ribosomal RNA, 210 nt
Filed under: uncultured bacterium
Lineage: Bacteria
Description: partial 16S ribosomal RNA
Rfam family: Bacterial small subunit ribosomal RNA
Source: RNAcentral
CGCGUAGGCGGCUUUAUAAGUCUGGAGUGAAAGUCCUCUUUUCAAGGGAGGAAUUGCUUUGGAAACUAUAGAGCUUGAGUGCAGGAGAGGUUAUCGGAAUUCCCGGUGUAGCGGUGAAAUGCGUAGAUAUCGGGAGGAACAUCGGUGGCGAAGGCGGGUAACUGGGACUGCAACUGACGCUGAGGCGCGAAAGUGUGGGGAAGCAAACAG